Dromaius novaehollandiae (emu) is the source of this 613-nucleotide long non-coding RNA. RefSeq lists it as uncharacterized. The record is from RefSeq and is a predicted model, not a curated record. The transcript has 3 exons. NCBI's taxonomy places the organism in Eukaryota, Metazoa, Chordata, Aves, Casuariiformes, Dromaiidae.
GCUGCACAAAUAUCAUCACAAAGUUUGGUUAUAUCGCAAGUGAUUACUUAUUAUUUACAUUACAGGAGGGCCUCUAGAUGUUGAGGGCUUUCCAUACAAGAGAGUCACAUGUUCUUCAUUGAAAACUUGUCUAAGAUCAACAGGAUAUUAAAGAAGACAGGAAAAUAUAAGACAGUAUUUGCCCUACAGCCAAACUGCACAUUGAGAUAUUCUGAUGCAUUACAGAUGUCCUCAUAAUAGCACCUAAGAGAAAAAAAAAAUAUUACCAUUCUGACACUGGGCACCAAAGAAUCCACGUGGACAGAGGCAAACAUCUGGCUUAGUACAGGAACCUCCAUUGAGACACACAGGAUCACAAAAUGCUGCAGAAGUAGUGUGAUGAAAAGAAUGGGAAGCCAUGACAAUCAAAUCAAAUCCAUAAAAUAUCUGCUUCUGUUGCAAGGACAGGAACUGAGCAUCUAAGACAGCUGCAGUUCUUUCCCAGAUUUGAACACUGGAAAUUAUAUACAAUUUCACUAGCUGAAGAGGAAUUGCUGAAGAGCUCAAUCCAGUCUCAAGGCUAUAACAAGCUAGCACCAGACUGUAAAGGUACAUAAAAGGUCUUUCCAUGUAA